RNAcentral lists this ribosomal RNA (493 nucleotides) under uncultured bacterium. RNAcentral describes it as "bacterial SSU rRNA". It matches the Rfam family "Bacterial small subunit ribosomal RNA", at positions 31 to 524 of the family's 1533-position model. The record is from RNAcentral.
GAACGCUGGCGGCGUGCUUAACACAUGCAAGUCGAGCGAGAAGGUUAUGACUGAAUCUUCGGAUGAAGGAUUAACUGGAAAGCGGCGGACGGGUGAGUAACGCGUGGGUAACCUGCCUUGUACAGAGGGAUAGCCACUGGAAACGGUGAUUAAUACCUCAUAAAGCUACAACAUCGCAUGAUGAAGUAGCCAAAACUCAGGUGGUACAAGAUGGACCCGCGUCUGAUUAGCUAGUUGGUGGGGUAAAGGCCUACCAAGGCGACGAUCAGUAGCCGACCUGAGAGGGUGAUCGGCCACACUGGAACUGAGACACGGUCCAGACUCCUACGGGAGGCAGCAGUGGGGAAUAUUGCACAAUGGGCGAAAGCCUGAUGCAGCAACGCCGCGUGAGCGAAGAAGGCCUUCGGGUCGUAAAGCUCUGUCCUAAGGGAAGAAUAAUGACGGUACCUUAGGAGGAAGCCCCGGCUAACUACGUGCCAGCAGCCGCGGUAAU